RNAcentral lists this non-coding RNA (335 nucleotides) under Pan troglodytes (chimpanzee). The record is from RNAcentral. Lineage: Eukaryota; Metazoa; Chordata; Mammalia; Primates; Hominidae.
GCAACAGCCACAAAACCCGCCGCUUCGGGGGCCCGGGGGCCGCACUCGGGAACGGGGCGUCGCCGCUGCAGCCGCUGCCUUGGGAGCCGGUCCACACUGCCGUUAUGAGCUGUCGCACUCACGUGCGUGAAAGUCUGCAGCUUCAUUCCUGAAGCCAGCGAGACCACGAACCCACCGGGAGGAACAAACAACUCCAGACGCGUGGCAUCAAGAGCUGGAACACUCACCACGAAGGUCUGCCGCUUCACUCCUGAGCCAGCGAGACCACGAACCCACCAGAAGGAAGAAACUCCGAACACAUCAGAGCGAACAAAUUCCAGACACGCCGCCUUUAA